This 875-nucleotide ribosomal RNA is filed under the name Camarosporidiella laburni. Its description in RNAcentral is "partial large subunit ribosomal RNA". It matches the Rfam family "Eukaryotic large subunit ribosomal RNA", at positions 73 to 964 of the family's 3401-position model. The record is from RNAcentral. Lineage: Eukaryota; Fungi; Ascomycota; Dothideomycetes; Pleosporales.
AUUCUCCCUAGUAACGGCGAGUGAAGCGGCAACAGCUCAAAUUUGAAAUCUGGCUCUUUCAGAGUCCGAGUUGUAAUUUGCAGAGGGCGCUUUGGCGUUGGCAGCGGUCCAAGUUCCUUGGAACAGGACGUCACAGAGGGUGAGAAUCCCGUACGUGGUCGCUGGCCUUCGCCGUGUAAAGCCCCUUCGACGAGUCGAGUUGUUUGGGAAUGCAGCUCUAAAUGGGAGGUAAAUUUCUUCUAAAGCUAAAUACUGGCCAGAGACCGAUAGCGCACAAGUAGAGUGAUCGAAAGAUGAAAAGCACUUUGGAAAGAGAGUCAAAUAGCACGUGAAAUUGUUGAAAGGGAAGCGCUUGCAGCCAGACUUGCCUGUAGUUGCUCAUCCGGGCUUUUGCCCGGUGCACUCUUCUGCGGGCAGGCCAGCAUCAGUUUGGGCGGUUGGAUAAAGGUCUCUGUCAUGUACCUCUCUUCGGGGAGGCCUUAUAGGGGAGACGUCAUACAACCAGCCUGGACUGAGGUCCGCGCAUUUAUGCUAGGAUGCUGGCGUAAUGGCUGUAAGCGGCCCGUCUUGAAACACGGACCAAGGAGUCUAACAUCUAUGCGAGUGUUUGGGUGUCAAGCCCGAACGCGUAAUGAAAGUGAACGGAGGUGGGACCCCAUUAGGGUGCACCAUCGACCGAUCCUGAUGUCUUCGGAUGGAUUUGAGUAAGAGCAUGGCUGUUGGGACCCGAAAGAUGGUGAACUAUGCUUGAAUAGGGUGAAGCCAGAGGAAACUCUGGUGGAGGCUCGCAGCGGUUCUGACGUGCAAAUCGAUCGUCAAAUUUGGGCAUAGGGGCGAAAGACUAAUCGAACUAUCUAGUAGCUGGUUCCUGCCGA